AAGGUGGACGAGGAAGAUGUGGUCUCUCACAUCCUCGCCAGACUGGAGGAGGAGUUCGAUCCCGUGGUGUCCGCCAUGUUCUCACGGGUUGAACCUGUCACUGUCCCGGAGCUGUACUCGCAGCUUUUGAGCUUCGAGA
Non-coding RNA from Triticum aestivum (bread wheat), 139 nucleotides. Lineage: Eukaryota; Viridiplantae; Streptophyta; Magnoliopsida; Poales; Poaceae. The record is from Rfam.